GUGAUUUUUUCGCGUGGAAUAAUCUAAAAUACAAUAACCACGCUGUGUAUAUAAUAUGGCUAUCCGAUAUAUGUAUUAAUACAACAUACACGCGAUUCCUUUCAUCUUUGAUGAAACGCGAUCCUCCAAUUACCUGGAAAAAUAUACUUACGUACAUAUCUUUGAUUAAAAGCUAUUGCUUCCAUACCAUUAAGACAGUCUAUCAUCAUAGAACGUCAUAAAGUUUCAAUUGACCCGCUGCUGCGCGAUUUUUCUUAAUCAUGACAGAGUUAAUUAUCUGACUGCUUCUGAAUUACGAUGAUUCCUUGUACCUUUCAAGUUCUGAAUGUAAGGACGAGAUUUUUUUUCAAGAGAAAAAGGAAAAUAAACAUAAAAAGAUUUAAGAAAAGGAAAGGAAAACCAAUAACCAACGGAUACCAUUCAAUAUCUAGAAAUGAAGAAAUAUACCAGCUAGACCAUAUUUACACUAGACACCAGCAACCAAUGUAAUUCUUCACUUCCCACGUACAUUC
Molecule: unclassified non-coding RNA, 512 nt
Filed under: Bombus terrestris (buff-tailed bumblebee)
Lineage: Eukaryota; Metazoa; Arthropoda; Insecta; Hymenoptera; Apidae
Description: misc RNA ENSBTSG00005036578.1
Source: RNAcentral